AACAAGAUACUAAUAUAGAGAGCUUGCUUUCUAGAGACCGGCGUAUGGGUGAGUAACGCGUAUGCAACCUACCUUUUACAGGGGAAUAGCCCGGAGAAAUUCGGAUUAAUGCUCCAUGGUUUAUAGAUGUGGCAUCACAUUUAUAAUAAAGAUUUAUCGGUAAAAGAUGGGCAUGCGUAUCAUUAGCUAGUUGGUGUGGUAACGGCAUACCAAGGCGACGAUGAUUAGGGGUCCUGAGAGGGAGAUCCCCCACACUGGUACUGAGACACGGACCAGACUCCUACGGGAGGCAGCAGUGAGGAAUAUUGGUCAAUGGAGGCAACUCUGAACCAGCCAUGCCGCGUGCAGGAUGACGGUCCUAUGGAUUGUAAACUGCUUUUGUACGGGAAGAAAUGUAAUUACGUGUAAUUAUUUGACGGUACCGUAAGAAUAAGGAUCGGCUAACUCCGUGCCAGCAGCCGCGGUAAUACGGAGGAUCCGAGCGUUAUCCGGAAUUAUUGGGUUUAAAGGGUUCGUAGGCGGUUUAGUAAGUCAGUGGUGAAAUCUUGCAGCUUAACUGUAAAAUUGCCGUUGAUACUGCUAAACUUGAAUAGUAUGGAAGUAAUUAGAAUAUGUAGUGUAGCGGUGAAAUGCUUAGAUAUUACAUGGAAUACCAAUUGCGAAGGCAGAUUACUACGUACUUAUUGACGCUGAUGAACGAAAGCGUGGGUAGCGAACAGGAUUAGAUACCCUGGUAGUCCACGCCGUAACGAUGGAUACUAGCUGUUCGGUCUUCGGAUUGAGUGGCUAAGCGAAAGUGAUAAGUAUCCCACCUGGGGAGUACGUUCGCAAGAAUGAAACUCAAAGGAAUUGACGGGGGCCCGCACAAGCGGUGGAGCAUGUGGUUUAAUUCGAUGAUACGCGAGGAACCUUACCAAGGCUUAAAUGUAGAUUGANAGGUUUAGAGAUAGACUUUCCUUCGGGCAUUUACA
This 971-nucleotide ribosomal RNA is filed under the name Flavobacterium sp. P10A. RNAcentral describes it as "bacterial SSU rRNA". It matches the Rfam family "Bacterial small subunit ribosomal RNA", at positions 59 to 1035 of the family's 1533-position model. Lineage: Bacteria; Pseudomonadati; Bacteroidota; Flavobacteriia; Flavobacteriales; Flavobacteriaceae. The record is from RNAcentral.